Molecule: ribosomal RNA, 253 nt
Filed under: uncultured bacterium
Lineage: Bacteria
Description: partial 16S ribosomal RNA
Rfam family: Bacterial small subunit ribosomal RNA
Source: RNAcentral
UACGGAGGGUGCAAGCGUUAUCCGGAUUCACUGGGUUUAAAGGGUGCGUAGGUGGCGGGGUAAGUCAGGUGUGAAAUCUCGGGGCUCAACCCCGAAACUGCACUUGAUACUGCCUUGCUCGAGUACUGGAGAGGAGAUUGGAAUUUACGGUGUAGCAGUGAAAUGCGUAGAUAUCGUAAGGAAGACCAGUGGCGAAGGCGAAUCUCUGGACAGUUACUGACACUGAGGCACGAAGGCCAGGGGAGCAAACGGG